This 148-nucleotide small RNA is filed under the name Pongo abelii (Sumatran orangutan). Its description in RNAcentral is "Metazoan signal recognition particle RNA (ENSPPYG00000040460.1)". The record is from Rfam by way of RNAcentral. Lineage: Eukaryota; Metazoa; Chordata; Mammalia; Primates; Hominidae.
GCCGGGCGUGGUGGUGGGCGCCUGUAAUCCCAGCUACUCGGGAGGCUGAGGCAGGAGAAUUGCUUGAACUCAGGAGGCAGAGGUUGCAGUGAGCCAAGAUUGCGCCACUGCACUUCAGCCUGGGCAACAGAGUGAGACUCUGUCUCAA